Molecule: long non-coding RNA, 852 nt
Organism: Ruditapes philippinarum (Manila clam)
Lineage: Eukaryota; Metazoa; Mollusca; Bivalvia; Venerida; Veneridae
Exons: 3
Source: RefSeq, a predicted model, not a curated record
UGUUUAUCAUUGAGUUUAUCGUAAAGGUUUAUCGCGCGUGAUUUGCAAUCGCGUCGUUUGAAAAUAAAACUUUAAGAGAAUAUCGCUUGUUGUAUCACACAAUGAACGAUUUAUUUACACAAGAUAUAAAUAUAAUAUCAAUUAUUAUACAAAACAAUAAAUGAUUAAUAUACUAAAGGUAUAAAUGCUUAUCAGUUGAUAGUAUUGUAGAGUUAGAAAAGUUGAUAGCAUUAGAUGUAGCAGCGUCAUUGUAGUGACGUUGAACCACGACAUUUCAUGACAUCAUUGGUGACAUCAUAGUACUUGACGACAGACAUUAUGAUAGGACAAUGACGGGACGUCAUUCUAGAAAGAGGGGAAGUGUGUAACCAGUUCGUGUUUUUGAUCUUUUCGUUUAUUUUAAACUUUUCACAUUUUAGUUUUACAGAGUUGUCUAUAAUCUCCCUUUCAUUGUAAAUUUGAGUGAUUAGUCAAGCAUUUGAAUUCCCGCUGUUUUUGAACCAAUUAUUGUGGUCAUGUGAUAUAGUGUUCACUCUUGCACAAGUCUUGGUACUGAGAAGUCAAAUGUGAACUAGCUAUGCUGAACUUUAUAUUAAUUUUAUUAUAACUAUUUUGGUGUUUCUUGGAAAUUGAAGGUUGAGUUAAUAGAGCACAGUAAGAGUCAGUGAGAGAAACAGAGGUGUAUUACCUAUACAGUAUAUGAAACCUGAUCCACAAAUGGGUUUGAAAUAUAUAUAUAGUAUACUCGAUCACAGCCUUUUGUUGUAUUGGACCCUUAUACUGACUGCUGGUUGGGGCCAGUGUGGUUGGCCAUUACUUUUAUUUACGUAUAUGGGCUGGAGCCCACCUGGU